This 866-nucleotide ribosomal RNA is filed under the name Bacillus siamensis. Its description in RNAcentral is "bacterial SSU rRNA". It matches the Rfam family "Bacterial small subunit ribosomal RNA", at positions 35 to 883 of the family's 1533-position model. The record is from RNAcentral. Lineage: Bacteria; Bacillati; Bacillota; Bacilli; Caryophanales; Bacillaceae.
GCCGGGCGGGGUGCUAUACAUGCAGUCGAGCGGACAGAUGGGAGCUUGCUCCCUGAUGUUAGCGGCGGACGGGUGAGUAACACGUGGGUAACCUGCCUGUAAGACUGGGAUAACUCCGGGAAACCGGGGCUAAUACCGGAUGGUUGUUUGAACCGCAUGGUUCAAACAUAAAAGGUGGCUUCGGCUACCACUUACAGAUGGACCCGCGGCGCAUUAGCUAGUUGGUGAGGUAACGGCUCACCAAGGCAACGAUGCGUAGCCGACCUGAGAGGGUGAUCGGCCACACUGGGACUGAGACACGGCCCAGACUCCUACGGGAGGCAGCAGUAGGGAAUCUUCCGCAAUGGACGAAAGUCUGACGGAGCAACGCCGCGUGAGUGAUGAAGGUUUUCGGAUCGUAAAGCUCUGUUGUUAGGGAAGAACAAGUACCGUUCGAAUAGGGCGGUACCUUGACGGUACCUAACCAGAAAGCCACGGCUAACUACGUGCCAGCAGCCGCGGUAAUACGUAGGUGGCAAGCGUUGUCCGGAAUUAUUGGGCGUAAAGGGCUCGCAGGCGGUUUCUUAAGUCUGAUGUGAAAGCCCCCGGCUCAACCGGGGAGGGUCAUUGGAAACUGGGGAACUUGAGUGCAGAAGAGGAGAGUGGAAUUCCACGUGUAGCGGUGAAAUGCGUAGAGAUGUGGAGGAACACCAGUGGCGAAGGCGACUCUCUGGUCUGUAACUGACGCUGAGGAGCGAAAGCGUGGGGAGCGUACAGGAUUAGAUACCCUGGUAGUCCACGCCGUAAAAGAUUGAGUGCUGAGUGUUAGGAGGUUUCCGCCCCUUAGUGGUGCAACUAACGCAUCAAUCACACCACCCGGCGAGUAC